RNAcentral lists this transfer RNA (31 nucleotides) under Ambystoma mavortium melanostictum (blotched tiger salamander). RNAcentral's name for it is "Ambystoma tigrinum melanostictum (blotched tiger salamander) partial tRNA-Thr". Lineage: Eukaryota; Metazoa; Chordata; Amphibia; Caudata; Ambystomatidae. The record is from RNAcentral.
AAAACCGAAGACUAAGAAUCUUCUCAAGGUA